UAGGGAAUCUUCGGCAAUGGACGGAAGUCUGACCGAGCAACGCCGCGUGAGUGAAGAAGGUUUUCGGAUCGUAAAGCUCUGUUGUAAGAGAAGAACGAGUGUGAGAGUGGAAAGUUCACACUGUGACGGUAUCUUACCAGAAAGGGACGGCUAACUACGUGCCAGCAGCCGCGGUAGUACGUAGGUCCCGAGCGUUGUCCGGAUUUAUUGGGCGUAAAGCGAGCGCAGGCGGUUAGAUAAGUCUGAAGUUAAAGGCUGUGGCUUAACCAUAGUAGGCUUUGGAAACUGUUUAACUUGAGUGCAAGAGGGGAGAGUGGAAUUCCAUGUGUAGCGGUGAAAUGCGUAGAUAUAUGGAGGAACACCGGUGGCGAAAGCGGCUCUCUGGCUUGUAACUGACGCUGAGGCUCGAAAGCGUGGGGAGCAAACAGGAUUAGAUACCCUGGUAGUCCACGCUGUAAACGACGAGUGCUAGGUGUUAGACCCUUUCCGGGGUUUAGUGCCGUAGCUAACGCAUUAAGCACUCCGCCUGGGGAGUACGACCGCAAGGUU
Molecule: ribosomal RNA, 549 nt
Filed under: uncultured bacterium
Lineage: Bacteria
Description: bacterial SSU rRNA
Rfam family: Bacterial small subunit ribosomal RNA
Source: RNAcentral